Molecule: ribosomal RNA, 472 nt
Filed under: Stygocapitella sp. 169_15
Lineage: Eukaryota; Metazoa; Annelida; Polychaeta; Parergodrilidae
Description: partial large subunit ribosomal RNA
Rfam family: Bacterial large subunit ribosomal RNA
Source: RNAcentral
GCCUGUUUAUCAAAAACAUAGCCUACUAUUUAACUUAGGUACAACCCUGCCCUCUGACUUUUAACAGCCGCGGUAUCCUAACCGUGCUAAGGUAGCAUAAUCACUUGCCUAUUAAUUAUAGGCUAGAAUGAACGGGAUCACUCACUUAAACUUAUUUUUAUUUAAAUUUAAAUUAAACUUUAAGUCAAAAUACUAAAUUAAAAAGAAAGACAAAAAGACCCUGAAAACUAUUAGAAAUAAUUAGUUGGGGCAACUAUAGACCACUCUAGCGUCUAUUUUUUUUAAACUCUUAAAAUCUAAAGUAUCCAGUUACUUCAGGGAUAACAGACUAAUUUUAUUAUUUAGACCCAAUAAAUAAUAAAGAUUGGCACCUCGAUGUUGGCUUAUAUUUCCUUCAUAUAGCAACAUAUAUAGAAGGCAGCUUGUUCAUCUGUUAAAUAUUUACAUGAGCUGAGUUCAGACCGGCGUAAGC